GUCGAGAUCCAGCUGGGCCAGGUCCGCUCGGUGGAGGAGGCGCUGCGCGCUGUCGCCAACCAGGCGCGGGCAGAGUAAAGCGGUGCGAGGAUCCGAGCCCGAGUCUGAGCGUGUCGCGGGUGGGGACCGGGAACCAGGACUGGGCCAGGGGAGGCGCGGGCCGCUGGGUGCAGGGGAGAAGCCCGCCCCUGUGCGCUUCCGGCUGCGAGCAACACCGGGUCCUAGGCGGGCGUCCGCUCGGGUCCACGGGCCCCGUCACGGUUCAUAGGCGCGAGGGCCUGGGCGCCUGAUCACCCUCACGGGGAGGGACGCAGCCUGCGCCCUGCCCUCCGCGCCGCAUCCUGGCUCCACUGCUCCCCCUCUGCCCCCGACGCUGGCCCUUUCCCGCCUUGUAGCCGUCACGAGUUGGGUCCCUGUCACCCAGGAGUGAGCGCCGCCCCUCAGGACUCGGGGUCACCAGGGCCAUACGUUCAGCGGGCUGUACUGGCUGCUCCUCCAAGGCGCUGCUGCUCAGCUGCCUGCUGUUUCUGAAGAAGGAGGCCCCGCGGACAGGCGGCCCCACCACCCGACGCCCCCUUCUGGGCUCCCUGGGGUCCCGGCGUGGCCAGUGCCCACCCAACCGCACAGUGGCCAACACCUCACUGGCCCUGCCCAGCCGUCACCGCCUCC
This is a long non-coding RNA of Heterocephalus glaber (naked mole-rat), 669 nucleotides long. The record is from Ensembl. NCBI's taxonomy places the organism in Eukaryota, Metazoa, Chordata, Mammalia, Rodentia, Bathyergidae.